This 338-nucleotide unclassified non-coding RNA is filed under the name soil metagenome. Its description in RNAcentral is "partial contains 5.8S ribosomal RNA, internal transcribed spacer 2, and large subunit ribosomal RNA". The stretch from base 1 to 120 matches the Rfam family "5.8S ribosomal RNA", at positions 35 to 154 of the family's 154-position model. The record is from RNAcentral.
GAUGAAGAACGCAGUGAAAUGCGAUAAGUAAUGUGAAUUGCAGAAUUCAGUGAAUCAUCGAAUCUUUGAACGCACAUUGCGCCCGCCAGUAUUCUGGCGGGCAUCCCUGUCUGAGCGUCAUUUCAACCCUCAAGCAACUUCUGCUUGGUGUUGGGGAUCGGCCGUCAAACGCCGCCCCCGAAAUCUAUUGGCGAUCUCGCUGUAGCUUCCUAUGCGUAGUAGUAACAUCUCGCAUCUGGAGAGCGGCGCGGUCAUGCCGUAAAACACCCAACUUCUCAGGUUGACCUCAGAUCAGGUAGGAAUACCCGCUGAACUUAAGCAUAUCAAUAAGCGGAGGA